This 23-nucleotide non-coding RNA is filed under the name Cricetulus griseus (Chinese hamster). Lineage: Eukaryota; Metazoa; Chordata; Mammalia; Rodentia; Cricetidae. The record is from RNAcentral.
CAGAUUUUGAUACACUGUAUGUU